UACGUAGGGUGCAAGCGUUGUCCGGAAUUAUUGGGCGUAAAGCGUGCGCAGGCGGUUCGCUAAGACAGAUGUGAAAUCCCCGGGCUUAACCUGGGAACUGCAUUUGUGACUGGCGGGCUAGAGUAUGGCAGAGGGGGGUAGAAUUCCAGGUGUAGCGGUGAAAUGCGUAGAUAUCUGGAGGAAUACCGGUGGCGAAGGCGGCAUCCUGGACCGAUAUUGACACUGAGGAGCGAAAGCUAGGGGAGCAAACGGG
RNAcentral lists this ribosomal RNA (253 nucleotides) under uncultured bacterium. RNAcentral's name for it is "partial 16S ribosomal RNA". It matches the Rfam family "Bacterial small subunit ribosomal RNA", at positions 524 to 776 of the family's 1533-position model. The record is from RNAcentral.